This 337-nucleotide unclassified non-coding RNA is filed under the name soil metagenome. RNAcentral describes it as "partial contains 5.8S ribosomal RNA, internal transcribed spacer 2, and large subunit ribosomal RNA". The stretch from base 1 to 120 matches the Rfam family "5.8S ribosomal RNA", at positions 35 to 154 of the family's 154-position model. The record is from RNAcentral.
GAUGAAGAACGCAGCGAAAUGCGAUAAGUAAUGUGAACUGCAGAAUUCAGUGAAUCAUCGAAUCUUUGAACGCACAUUGCGCCCGCCAGUAUUCUGGCGGGCAUGCCUGUUCGAGCGUCAUUUCAACCAUCAAGCCCCCGGGCUUGUGUUGGGGACCUGCGGCUGCCGCAGGCCCUGAAAAGCAGUGGCGGGCUCGCUGUCACACCGAGCGUAGUAGAUUUUAUCUCGCUCUGGGCGUGCUGCGGGUUCCGGCCGUUAAACCACCCUUUUAACCCAAGGUUGACCUCGGAUCAGGUAGGAAGACCCGCUGAACUUAAGCAUAUCAAUAAGCGGAGGA